This 459-nucleotide ribosomal RNA is filed under the name uncultured bacterium. Its description in RNAcentral is "partial 16S ribosomal RNA". It matches the Rfam family "Bacterial small subunit ribosomal RNA", at positions 338 to 795 of the family's 1533-position model. The record is from RNAcentral.
CCUACGGGUGGCAGCAGUGAGGACUAUUGGUCAAUGGGAGAGAUCCUGAACCAGCCAAGCCGCGUGAGGGAAGACGGCCCUAUGGGUUGUAAACCUCUUUUGUCGGAGAACAAAACCCGGGACGUGUCCCGGACUUCGUGUAUCCGAAGAACAAGCAUCGGCUAACUCCGUUCCAGCCGCCGCGGUAAUACGGAGGAUGCGAGCGUUAUCCGGAUUUAUUGGGUUUAACGGGUGCGUAGGCGGUCCGUUAGGUCAGCGGGAAAAUUGCGGGGCUCAACCCCGUCGAGCCGUUGAAACUGGCAGACUUGAGUGGGCGAGAAGUACGCGGAAUGCGAGGUGUAGCGGUGAAAUGCAUAGAGAUCGCGCAGAACACCGAUGGCGAAGGCAGCGUACCGGCGCCAGACUGACGCUGAGGCACGAAAGCGUGGGGAUCGAACAGGAUUAGAUACCCGAGUAGUC